This is a non-coding RNA of Pelodiscus sinensis (Chinese soft-shelled turtle), 4700 nucleotides long. Lineage: Eukaryota; Metazoa; Chordata; Testudines; Trionychidae. The record is from RefSeq and is a predicted model, not a curated record.
GAUAUUCGCCUAAUGUCUCAACUUUAAGCAAUAGAAACUGGAAGCUUUAAGCCUCCAUUUGAACUUCAUCUCAAUCGGAUAGCAACACACUAAACUUGUGCGAAUAUAACAGAGACCUUCUGAUCCAGGUGAACUCUAGGGCACAUUAGCUCCUCUCUCCCCCAUCACACCGACAGUAGAUAAAACUCUGGAGAUCUGGAAUAAAACAAACUACUGCUCCUCUCAGAAGGAAAGGGGUUAAUUAUGAACACACCUUGGAAGAUAACAGCAGAUCACAGUGGAAUUACAAACGCCAUUAAUGUCAACAUAAUUUGGUGGAUUCUACACUACUCACUCUUCCAAAGUUUUGAAAAUCCUGGAAUUAUGCAUGUUUCAAGCCCCCAAAGUAAAUAUACACGAACUUCUCAUUAAGACCCAAGAAGGCCUGCACCACAAUGGAGAAUAGCUCUUCCAGUUAAGCGUAUUCCUGAACUUGUUGGGAAGAUGGUAGGUAGCAUACUGAAUGGCUACAUGGGUUCUUCCAUCAAUAGCUCACAAAAUCCAACUGCCUAAAAUACCUUGAUAAGCACACAUUCCUACACUAUUUUAUCUUGCACAUUUUCACUUCCACUAUUCUGUUUUAACCAAAACAGUGGACUACCACUGGCCUCAGACUGACUCUCUCCAGAUGACUGGCAAUGAGGAUUCCACAGGAUGACCGCUACUCUUUUCCACAGAAGUCUUGCACUGCUGUAUUGGGACAAAGUUAGCACAAGAGUUCCAGAACUGUUUCUUUUUUCAUCCCAGGGUUCUGGCCAUCCCAAGUCACCUCAACUACUCUGUCCCACAAGCUUGUAGUCAUAGUUCAUUGGGUGCAAUUCAGUAAAGAGUUAAAGCAGCAGUAAUUGCCUGAUAUGUGUAUUUAUAUAAUCCUGUCUUUCUGCAGGUAUUAUCUGAACCAUUCCAUCACUCUAGAGCAGCUUACUUAGAUGCGUUCUAACACCUUUUUUAAAAUUUGACUUUUCCCAUAAUUCUCCUGGCCCUUCCACAAUCUUCCAGAAGCAGCUGCUUGCAAGAGCUGUAUCAGAAACUAGGAUAGUUAUUGGGAGAUCAGUACAACUACAGUGCUGUAGAAGAGCGUAAUAUAAAGAGACAGUAAAACUACAACAGUCUUUUAGCCUGAAACAUGGCCAUUGUGGGGACACUGCACCACUGAUGGUCAUGUAAGUGCAAUCUGAAUGGUUCAACUUCCUAGUGAAGACACUGCUUAAAGCCUCUGAAACACAAAAAACAUCCAAAGAUUCAACAUUUCUAUACUUAGAGGAUUGCACCUUAGAAUUUUGUCAUUUGUCAGCUCCAGGAAAAGUGACUAACAAAAGACAAACAUUUUGGAAAAUGCGUGGCCUGAUUUUCAGAGGUGUUGAGUACUUGCAACUAGAUUUCAUGGAUUUCCAUGGCAAAGCUAGCACCUCUGAUAAAAGUCAGAUCAUCCUUAUUGCUUGACAUCCAUGAUAAAUGAUCCACUCUUAUCCACUAUAAAACUGUCUUGUACUUCAUAAAACUCCCUAUACACUACCCCUCUCUUUGGUGUUCCUGUCAGAUCUUUCCAACUUUAUGGAAAGCUGAAAUUCUUCUUUUACAUAUAAUAUAUUUACAUAAAAAGUCUAAUAAACGCUUUUAAACAACAACAAAAUUCAGCCUUAUCAGUUCAGGCUGAGCAUGGUCACUUAAACUGGCCACAAAACAACAUCUUUAAAUACGUAUAAAGUAGUAGAAUGAUUUAUGUUAAGUCCGUCAUCUCCAUUCAGCUUCUAAUGGAAAAGUGUCUACAACAGGCCCAGCAUGAAGGGUGAAAAUCCAUAUUUUAGAAUCUACAUAAAGUGGGCUUAGAAGAUCUGAGCAACUUUGAGUCAAUGGAAGCACUGAAGUCAAUGAGAGGUGAACAGGUUGCGAAUGCUAAAGCACUUCUGAAAAUCAGGCCUCUUAUCCAGAUGCUUAAACAUGGAAUUAGAUGCCCAGUUUUAAAAUUCUAAGUGAUUUAACUAAGCCCAUUCAAUCAGAUUUUACAUUACCUCAAUAAUACUGGAAAUUGGGAUUUAUGGAAUUUAAGAGCAAACACUGAUGGGGAUCAAGACUCGCAGCAACACUUCCACGAGGAGACUAGAGAAAUCCUAAAAUCUUGGGUCAAACAGGGUUAUUUUAAAGACAUAGGAAUAGACAAUUUAAUGAGCAGCCUUUCAAUAAUUCAUUUCAAAUUCAACGUAGGACCCACAUGCAAUGAGUUUAACUAUUCAAAGAAUGCUACGGUUGGCCUAUAUUUAAAAAAAUAUUGGCAGGAAUUCAAGACAAGCAUAGCAGGAUGUCAUAUUUUAAGACAGAUACGGAGUAACAGUGAGGGUAUAUUUGAAACAUUGUGCACCUCUGGCUCACACUACGCUGAAUUCUAGCCAUUAAAAGCAAUCAAUUUUCUCAAAAUUUAAGGCCUGAUCCUAGAAGUCGCAGAAUUCCUCCUUCACAGAUUAUAGAAUUAGAUCCAUAUGCUCUACAAACUUGACUUUACAAAUGAAGAUGUCACAAAAUGGAUUCACUCAGCAAUAUUACACACUACAUGGUUUGCAUGAAUUAAAGUUAUUUAUUUUGUUGUUAGAUUUUUCUACUACUGUUAAAUUCUGUGGGGUAUGGUUUUAACUAUCAGAGUAUUCAGCAAUGUUAGAUAAAUAUCAGUGUAUCUUCACCGAGUUUAUCAUUAGCUAAACAGCAUAGAAUAUAGUUGUGAAAAGAAAAAAUAUUCUAAUAAAACAUUAUGAACUUUUAAAGCAAUGUCACUUAUCUAAUUUACAUAACUUUCUCAUGAAAGUUUUUUCUAAUCCUCCAGCUUCACUUACAAAGCAAGUUUUCUAUCAUAAGAGCUCAAAAUCCCAGAGGUUGCUUGCAAAGACCUAGUUAUUUUUCAGUAUCCAUAAUAAAAUACCAUUCCUAUGCAGACAGAGUAAGGCUCUGGUACCACACUGUCUAGUGUGUGGGUGUACUGCAGCACUCAAGCAAAGCCCAACUGAUGUAGCUGGAGCUCUGCAUGGGCACAGCAGUGCACCUGUGUGCUAUACAAUGUAGGAUCAGUUCCUAAAUCAUAAAAAAAACACCUUAGUUUUAUGAUAGAUUAAAAAAACCAAGAUUCAGUUUUAGUAUAUCAAACCAAAAAUCUGUAAAGAAAUGCUCAGGUGUAUUGCUGAAAGUACCAGGAGGCAGCAUUCUUUCUAAACAACAAGAGAAGCCCUAUAACAUUAUAGUAGGAUAUUUUUGUACUACCCAGACAUAUUUCAUUUACCCUAUUUUAAUUUUUUUUUCCCGCAGCCAAAAAUUCUAUAAAUAUUUUGAAGUAUAUUUUUGAUUCAGAAAGGUAACAAUAUAAUUGGACAUGUUAAAACUUCAAGUUAUCCACAGGAGUUACAUAAAGAAUACAUUACAAUGCCUCUUUAAUUACAUUAGCCUAGACAUACAAACACUACUUUUGCAAGGUAUUAGCAAGCCCUAGUAUAGAUAUUAUUUCAAUUUUAUAUAAAAAAAAUCCUGACAUUUACACCAAUCAGAUAUUAUGCAUCUUGUGUACAAACCACAUUACGUUGUGAGUAAAUGUAUUCCACUCUGACUCACUAACGAGAAGAUUCUAAUCUCAAGCAAGACAAAUCAACUUCUCAUGAACUGUUACUUCAUACAUAAUACAAAUAAGAAAUGCUUCACAUUAUAGAGACAUUUAGAUUUUCUUUAAACCUUUUUAUUUAGAGAUUUUUCUGGUAAAGAGAUAUACCAUAGGAAAGCAAUUUCACUGGCAGUGAGGUAUGUAUAUACUCUACCAAAAUACUCUUGGUUUUAACUGCUUUUAACUUUAUUUACAUAUAAAGAAAAUAUCAAUGCAUAUUCUUGAUUUAACUACAGUUUUAGUUACCCUACAUGAAUAAAAUGUUACUUGCAUACAAAACUGAUUUGCAAAGGAAUCUGAUUUACUGAUUAAGAAAUUAAAUCACGUUUGGAUGACAAUUUUAAAUGAAUAAACACAAUUAAUCAUGAUCAAGACACCUGCACCAUAUAUUCCAUCCUCACAGCACAUUUAUUUCAGUAAUUCUGUAAGUAGGUCCUUAGCAUGAGCAUAGUGUUACACAGUUUUCAUACAUAUAAUCACAUCCAAAAGAAGUUCUAAAAUUUAAAUUGUAAACAUUCUCUUCAUAUGUAGAAACAUUUCAAUCUGUGUUCAAAUUUGUUAAAAUGAUCAAAAUAUUUUAAACAGAAUUAUAAAUGAAAAUUCUAGUCCUAAACCGUGUAGUGAGCAAUUCUUAUUAGUACAUUUCUACGGUGUUAAAUAAAGUAGUAGAGGCAAACUGUUCUGUGAGCAUGUGAGACUAAGUAAAACAUCGUAAGGAAACAAACUUUAACAAAAAAUGCUUUGCAAUAAAGAAAGUUAGAUCUGAAUCUACUAUGAUACAAAAUGUAAAGGGUAAAUACCAUCUUUGUUGACAAAGUAGGAGGUAGCAUGGAUGCACCACAUUAUUGUCAGUGAGAAAUGCAACUGAAGUAAAGAAUACUUUCUUACCACAAAUAAUUUCCAGUACUAUGUACAUAUUUCUCUUACAAAUAUUUGUUUAAACAAGUUUCCCUCCACUUUUUAGUACAAAAAGCCUCAUGUAAUUAAAAACAAAACAAAACAAAACACGUACACACAUAGAUAA